RNAcentral lists this ribosomal RNA (253 nucleotides) under uncultured bacterium. Its description in RNAcentral is "partial 16S ribosomal RNA". It matches the Rfam family "Bacterial small subunit ribosomal RNA", at positions 524 to 776 of the family's 1533-position model. The record is from RNAcentral.
UACGAAGGACCCGAGCGUUAUCCGGAUUCAUUGGGUUUAAAGGGUGCGUAGGCGGAUUGAUAAGUCAGUGGUGAAAUCCUGCAGCUUAACUGUAGAACUGCCAUUGAUACUGUCGAUCUUGAGUACAUUUGAAGUGGGCGGAAUGUGUCAUGUAGCGGUGAAAUGCUUAGAUAUGACACAGAACACCGAUUGCGAAGGCAGCUCACUAAACUGUAACUGACGCUGAGGCACGAAAGCGUGGGGAUCAAACAGG